Molecule: ribosomal RNA, 778 nt
Filed under: uncultured Neocallimastigales
Lineage: Eukaryota; Fungi; Neocallimastigomycota; Neocallimastigomycetes; Neocallimastigales
Description: partial large subunit ribosomal RNA
Rfam family: Eukaryotic large subunit ribosomal RNA
Source: RNAcentral
AUAUCAGUCAUGCAUAGCAUAUCAAUAAGCGGAGGAAAAGAAACUAACAAGGAUUCCCCUUAGUAACGGCGAGUGAAGCGGGAAGAGCUCAAAUUUGAAAUCUUCAAGGUUCUACCUUGACGAAUUGUAGUUUAUAGAAGUGUUUUCUGUUAGUAGAGUGGCAAAAGUUCUUUGGAAUAGGACAUCAUAGAGGGUGAGAAUCCCGUAUUUGGUCAUUCCUUCCUAGCGUUGUGAUACACUUUCAACGAGUCGGAUUGUUUGGGAAUGCAGUCCAAAAUGGGUGGUAAAUUUCAUCUAAAGCUAAAUAUUGGCGAGAGACCGAUAGCGAACAAGUACCGUGAGGGAAAGAUGAAAAGAACUUUGAAAAGAGAGUUAAACAGUACGUGAAAUUGUCAAAAGGGAAGCGUUUGACACCAGUGUUGUUUUUCCGAAAAUCAAUUACGAAUGUUUUGUUUUUGAGGAGUUAUGACUUCAUCGGCUUGCUCCUUUCUUUAUGAAACUUUCUUAAUGCACUUUUCGGUUAACAAGUCAACAUCAAUUUCUUUUGUUGUAAAAAGGGUAUGAGGAAGGUGGCUUUCUUUUCGGAGAAAGUGUUUAUAGCCUUGUGCCUCUGCAAUCGGAGAGAUUGAGGUCUGCAGCGUAGAUCCUUUCUGGAUUAGAUACAUUUGUGCUAAGUUAUAGCUUUUCAUAGACAACUUGUUGACUAUGUUUAGUCUUGUAGCUUACUCGCUGACGCUAUUUUACCUACGCUUAGGAUGUUGAUGUGAUACUGCGAGCA